GUAUGUUUGCAUUUCACCUAGCUUGGAAUCAAUAACCUAGUCCUUAAGUAAAUGUUUGAUUACAUCAUGAGCUUUCCUACAAAUUAGUUAGGUAGUGGUUUCAGCUGCUGCAUUGUUGCUUAUAUUUGAUAUACUACACAAUGUGACUGGAGUUUAUCGUGAUUUGCAGAAGAUAGAAUUUGGAUGCCCUUCCCUGGUCGACGACACCCUUCCCUGGUCGACGACACCCUUCCGUCGUGGGCUCUCAGUAGGACGGCGACCCACAAGAUCCACACCCUUGUGGCCAUGUGACCCUCAAGCUCGACGGCUAGAUCCCCUACGGCCAAGACCUUCUGCUCGAGAGUCAAGUCCCAGUCCGACUUCUCUGCUUCCCAACUGCUCCUUCAGUCCGGCUUCAGUAGCUCACUUCUCACCACGACCAGGAAAUGAAAGAUCGCUCGACAAACGGCCGCUUCCAGUCAGUUGGAUCUGAUCUUAUACCCGCACACGAGAGCUACCGGAGCAGCAGCAGAUUAACAAGGACCCAAGCUGGACUCCCAAGUUCUUCGGCUCAAGGCGCUAAGGUGUUGGAGACGUGCCUGUACUUGUUGAGCGUUUUAUCUGUAGAGUGCUAUAUUGUGAUUGGUGUAAUAUUGUAUGGUUAUAUUGUGAUUGGUGGAAUGUAAUAAACUUGAUUGGUAUAUUGGUGAUUUGGCUAUUAUUUGAAUA
Triticum urartu is the source of this 708-nucleotide non-coding RNA. The record is from RefSeq and is a predicted model, not a curated record. NCBI's taxonomy places the organism in Eukaryota, Viridiplantae, Streptophyta, Magnoliopsida, Poales, Poaceae.